GAUGAACGCUAGCUACAGGCUUAACACAUGCAAGUCGCGGGGCAGCACGGGGGUUGCUUGCAAUCCCUGAUGGCGACUGGCGCACGGGUGAGUAACGCGUAUGCAACUUGCUCUUCACCACGGGAUAACUCGGGGAACGUAGGCUUAUAACCCUAUGUAGCUCAUUGACAGAACACGAUAUGGUCGGACGGCUCACCGGUGAGGGAUGGGGUUGCGUCCGAUUUGCUUGACGGCGGGGAAACCGCCCACCGAGGCUACGCGUGGUGGGGGUUCGGAGAGGAAGGUCCCCCACACUGGAACUGAGGCACAGUCCAGACUCCUACGGGAGGCAGCAGUGAAGAAGAUUGGUCAAGGAACGUAAGCCUGAACCAGCCAAGUAGCGUGCAGAAUGACGGGCCUAUGAGUUGUAAACUGCUUUUAAGCAAAGAUAAAGGGUCCAACGUGUGGUUUUUUGCAGGUACCGCAUGAAUAAGGACCGGCUAAUUCCGUG
Molecule: ribosomal RNA, 490 nt
Filed under: uncultured bacterium
Lineage: Bacteria
Description: partial 16S ribosomal RNA
Rfam family: Bacterial small subunit ribosomal RNA
Source: RNAcentral